Caenorhabditis elegans is the source of this 21-nucleotide non-coding RNA. The record is from Ensembl. Lineage: Eukaryota; Metazoa; Nematoda; Chromadorea; Rhabditida; Rhabditidae.
UCUCGUCCCUCACGGAUAAGA